UUUACAGUAAAUAAUUCCACAACAACGAUGUAAUCAAUAUUGAACAAAAGAUAUUUUACUAUAAUUUUAUUUAAUAUUUUUCAAAACAAUGUAUAAAUGAGAUUUACACCAGUUUAUUGCAUCCUGAUUAACAGUUUAAAUACUUAAAUCAACUGAUUAAAAUCAACAGCAGUUUCCAUAACAAAUCUGAACACACAUACAAAAACAAUUCAUAUGGCAACUUAUAAUAAAUUGUCUACAAAGACAAUCUUAACAAACAUAUGUGCAAAAACUGGGAAUUUUACGGAAAGAAAUCAAGAGUAUUUGUUAAAUCUAAGCUCAAAAGCAUGAACUUGUAUUACCGGUAGUCUUUUUUUUUUGCGAAAAAUUAUAACAUUAAUGCAAAAUAAAAAUAAAAAAAUCAGCUCUAAAAAAUUCAACAAUAUAAAGUCAUUUUGAACAAAGCACAAUAUAGUUGACAUAGAAUUAAUUGAUUAAUUUCAAAGAGUAAAUCUAAAGUCAAAUAUAAUUGUCCAUCACGAUCUUGUUGUGAGGUGUAAGUAUUAUGGUUUAUUGCCAUAGAUCUUCCAGCAAGUGAUUAGACAUGUUCUGAUAUCUUGAUAAGCUGAAUACCAACUAAUCCAUGAAAAUUUGAUUUUAUACAUCAAAUCCAUAUUAUUUUACUUUUCGAUAUGCAGUAUUUCUUUUUAACAUUUUGAUUACUAGUAAACACAUAGUGUCCCCAGACUUUCAUUUUGACAAUGACAUCAACAUUUAUGCAUGUCAUUGAUUAUUUUGAUGCUUUUAUAGUUAGUAUAUAUAUAUAGCUGAAGUACAUUACUUUUCAGGUCAAUAAUUUUUCUUUUUAUUUUAUAAUUUCAUAAUAAUUAAGUUUUAAUUUUGCUGAAAUGUUAUAAAAGUUAUUAAUACUUCAAUAUAAUUAUAAUAAAUGCAUAUAUAAUCUUAUACAUAGACGCAAAUAAUUAAAAUAUCAUUUUGAUUAAACAGCUAACAUAACUGAAUGAACUCUUAAUUACAUAACAAUUGAAGACUAUCUCUAUUAAAUAUGAGAACUGAAAUUCAAAAAUUCAAAUAUGAUACUAAAAAAAAUAUUCAAUUACUUAAUUUUGCAAUGUCUGAAAUAUUAUAUGACAAUCAGGAACAAAAAUCAACACAAAAUAGGAGAGGUGUUUUGAGGGGAGAUUACAAAGGACGGAAAAAUCCAAACUGUUUUAAUCGUUUAAGAGAUAAAUGACACGAUCUUUUGCUAUACUCGAAAUUGAUAGUCCUAAGUUUGUAAAUAAAUUCUAUAAGUUCAAAACUGACAAUGUGAGAGGAUCAGUGAUGAAUCCAUUUGAUUCACAAAUUUAUUUUAUAGAUGUGAAAACUGAGAAAAUAUUCUAAAUCACUACAGCUAACAAAUGGAAUGUCUGGUCUUAUCACACAACUAAAUAAAAACAAAGUUACAUCAGUAUAACAAUCCGAGGAUAAUAUGGAUGAGUAUAAUGUGUAUAUACAUAAAUGCACAUAAUCAAAUUUAACCUCAGCUUCACUUCAUCUUCGUGAUUAAUAAGGUCAAUAUCAUUAUAGGGAAUAUUUUAAAUGUCAGGAACAUUUACAAAGAAUAGCUCAAGUCAUAUUCCUGAUCUUUUAAACAUUGAAUUAUAUCAAUGAUGUAAGCAAUUCUGAAUCAAUACAAAAAUAUUUCAGGUUCCAUCCCAUCAUUUGGAUUUAAUAGCCAUAUUUUUUUUGUUCUUUAUGUUGGAGAAAAUCUUUUUUUUUGUACGAGGGGGAAAAAGGAAAGAGACAUUGUUGUCUCAGACCAAAAGUUAAAUGAAACUUUGUUUUAAAACAAAAAUAAGAUAAAAUAUCAUUGUCCUUCAUGAUUUCUUACAGUAAAGCAACUUAAACAAUCAUUAUCUAAGUAAAGCUGAGGUAAACAUUUCAUUAUGAUUUAACUUUAUAAGUUGUAAAUGCACAAAUAAACAAAAUAUACAAUAUAAUAAUCAGCAUAUAAAAAUUAAUUGGCACAUAUAAGUUAGUAUUUUUAUCAUUUGAUAUAAAUAACAAGUUCAAAUUUUCCCAUAUGAAGAUUUCCCUAUUUAGACUACAAAACUACAGUAUAAAUUCAUUAAUUCAAGUAUUUUAAUUGAUAAAUUUUCCAUAAAAGUAAAAAACAAAAUGGCAUCUUCCUUGGCAAUCUUGGCACAAUUAAAAACAUUUAAAUAACUAAUUCUACAAUUCCUUUCAGUAAACAAAAAAAGUUGUGUUCACAAUUUAACACUAAAAAAUCUGAUGAAGCAAUGUACAUUCCAUCAUCUACUAUUAAAAACUGCUUUUUGAUAUACAAGUGUACUACUUUAAUUAAACAAUAACAAGAUGCACUGUAAGCUAUUGCUUAAUAAUUAUACCCCUACUAGGUGUUGUUUACUCGAAUUUUCUGCAAACAGGAAGUAAAAUAUCAAAAUAACUGAAAGUAACUUAAAUAUGUCACACAGUAUUGAAUAGCAUGAAACUAUGACUUGUAGUUGUUGUGAAAAAUGUGUAUUGACACACAGACAGAAAAGAUGUAAGCCAGUGAAUUCCCCUCGUUUGGAGCCAAGUAUGAAUGGAAAAUGUAUAACAUUUAAACAAGUCUAUUGUAAGCGAAUAAAUGAUGAUAAACAUGAAUUGCUAGAAAAAAGAUUUCACAACCACAGAGAAACAAGGCACAGUUUAAAAAAAUCUUAUGUUUUCUACAAAUGUACACUCCAUAGACAUGACAGCAUUUAUAAUGGUUUGCAUGAUGAAGACUAUUUACUUAUACAAAUCUUGAAAUACCUUUAAAUCAAGACAAAAUAAAUAUGGUUUCCCAACUUUGGGUAGCUUUCAUAUCAAUUCUCUGUUUAACUUAGAUAUAUAAUUAAAAGCAAUGUUUCAUUAUAUAUAUUUAAAUGCAAGUAAUACAUACAGACUAGAGUUUUUACCAUUAAAGCUAUUAUUAAAGUUUUUAUAAAAUGUGAUAUGUAGGAAUACCAAAAAUGCCUUUUACAGCAAAAUGCCUGGAGUGUGUAAGUAAACGUAAUAUCUUUGACUAGUUUGUUUGUUAGCUGAACCGUGAAACCAUUAUAACUUAAUGGUUAACUAUACUACCCUCCUUUUGAAGUAGUCAAGUCCUACAGUCAGAAAGUUUUGUUUAUCUGACGGGACAAGUCUACUCUUGAAGGAGGGUAGUAUACCUCAAUUAAUAAUGACUUCACAGUUAAGCUAGCAAGCAAGCUAACCAAAGAUAUUACCUUUAUCUGCAAACUCUAUGCAUUUUGCUGUAAGCAUUUUACAGAGUAGCAUGAUGUUACAAAAAAAGUUAUUUUUACCUGAGACCAGUUUUUAAAGCAUUUCGUAAGAUCAGGUAUAACACAACAAAUAAAAUCAAUGAAUAUUCAUAAAAAUACAAUUUUAAAUAAUAAGCAUACAUGUAUUGUUCUUAUUUAUAUGAAUAUACUGAAUACAAAUGGUUUUAGUUAAAAUAAUCAUAUAAUUAAGUUGUUGAGGAAAGUCAUUU
RNAcentral lists this long non-coding RNA (3520 nucleotides) under Mytilus galloprovincialis (Mediterranean mussel). The record is from RNAcentral. Lineage: Eukaryota; Metazoa; Mollusca; Bivalvia; Mytilida; Mytilidae.